GGGAGGGCCGGGGAUGGUUUCUGGGGGCGGCUGCGGGGGUACGGAGGCGGAGGAGCGGUACCCCGUGGUUCUGCCUUCGCCCCUCGGCUCGGGGAGGGCCGCGGGAGGGAGGAGGGAGCUGCGGAGCGGGGCAGAGGCAUUCCUGCCGCCGCCCCGGGAGCCGAGGCAUCGGAGAAACGGGCAUUUAUAGGUGACGUACGGGCUUACGUGGGAGCUCGUGCCCAGCACCGCUCUCCCAGCGCCGUUUCUACUGACACGACACCUUCCCGCAGCGCGCACCCCCCUUUUCCAGGCUGGGGGGGGGGGGGGAGGGUUGGGGGGGAGCGGGAGGGGACAGCAAAAGGGAAAAGAAAAGCGGCCCUUUCGUAUCCCGCUCGGGAGACGAGCCCCGGAGCUCCGAAAGUGAGCGGAGGGCGAUGGAGGGCGGCGGGGAGCGGGCCGGGACGCGUCCCCGUGCUCCGAGAGCGGGGCGAAGCGGCGGGGGAGGCGGGCAGCGCAGGAACGCGCCCGGGGACCGCAGCGCCUUCAGCUCCCGGAGCCGCGGGCACCGCUCGGGUGAAUCGGGGAUGAAACGUGGGAGAAAUGCGGGAGGGGAGGCGAGAAAAGGUCGGGAGCGAAGUGAGGCUGUGAGAGCGGAGGGGGAUUUGUGAAAUAGAUAGAUAUGUGGAUAAUCAUUUUUCUCUUUCCUCGCUCUGCAAAAGCUGCAGGCGAAACGCUAAAUGUAUAAUUGUGUAAAGGGGAAUAUAAGGAUGAGAAAAAUGGAGGGGGAGCGGAGGAAGGAAGAGAGGGAAGGAGAGAAAGGCACGCGGCACCGCCGUGCUCGUGUCCUGAGUUCGGCCGGAGCUCACGGGCGGGAUGCUGCGGGCACAGCACGGCACGGCCCGGCCUGACCGUCGGGGCGGCACGGACGGCACGGCCCGGUAUCGCACGGCCCGGCCCGGCCCGCUGGAGGGACCCUCUGCCUCUUUCUCCCUUUCUGCCGCCUCCCCCCACGGAAAGCUCGUGGUUCUGCUCUGCCCGACGGCUGCGGUGCCGCACCGCACCGUGCCGUGACGAGCUGUGCUGUGCUGUGCUGGGCUGGGCUGUGCUGGGCUAUGCUGGGCUGUGCUGUGCUGCGCUGGGCUGUGCUGGGCUAUGUUGGGCUGUGCUGUGCUGGGCUGGGCUGUGCUGUGCUGUGCCGGGCCGUGCAGUGCCGUGCAGUGCCGGGCCGUGCCGUGCCGCUCCGGGGAGCCUCGCGGACUUUCAGCACUUGGACAGCGGUGCGGGAGCCGGGCCGUGCCGGGCUGUGCCGGGAGGGUCGGGGGGAGCGCGCGCAGUGAUGCUCCGUACGGCGGAGGCAAUGGGGAGGCGGCGUUCCUUCCUGAACGCCGGGCGUGGGGACACGGCCGAGGGGGCUCCGGGGAGCACCCCUGGAGGGGUACCUCGCCCCGACCCCCCCGCAGCUGGAAGAAAGCUCCGGGAGGCGCAGCCGUGCCCCGGCGGUGCGCCGCGGCCCCGCAGAGGGCACGGGGCCCCGAGGGGGCGGCAGAGGGCGGCUCGAUGGGGUGUGGGGGGAGAGCCCCCUUUCCCCCAUCUUCGGGGGGUAAUUAGGGGUGACACGGAGGGGCUGCGGUUUCUGCUCGGUGGAGCUGCCGGCGACCAACCCCCGCCGCCGCCGCCUUCCUCCCGUCCUCCUCCUCUCACCCUCCCUCCUUCCCUCCCCCCGCCUUCUCCCCUCCCCCUCUCCCUCCUCCUCCUCUCCGCCAUGGUUGGAGUGAAUCGGAGGCUGCCGGGCUGACGUCAGUGCGGGCAGAGCCUGCCGCCGGCGGCAGCUCCUGGACACCGACCAGAACCGGCACCGGCAGCAGCCGGCAGGACGCGAAGAGCCCGGGCACCGCCGCCCCCCGCACCGGGGGUACCGGGGGCGCCGGGGGCAGAGCCCUGCCCGCCCCGCCGCUCUCCCUCCGGGAAGGGCGGCCCCCGCCGCCCGCUUCGCCCACGGACGGCCCCGUCGCUGCCCUCGCCUCGGCUGCAAGCCCGGAUGGCUCCUGAAUGUCCCCGCCGGCCGGACGAAGCGGCGUGCAGCGGGCGGAACGCCCGACCGAGGCCGAGCCUCGCGGCGCAUCCCGGCGUUAGGCCCCGGGUGAGACCCCGCGCUCCGGGAUUUUUCCUUCGGACGCAGCGAGGGCUGCUGCGGGGCAUCGCUCCGUGGGGUGGGGGACGCCGCGACACCGCGCCCCCCCCUCGGGUUCAGCUCCGAGGACAGCGCCGGGGUCGCCGCUGCCCAUAACGCGAUCUGUCGGCAGCCUCUGCUGAGGGAGGAUUUUUUAUUUCACGUUUGCUUCUCUCUGUACCUUCGCUGCAUUUCCACCCCCCUUUCUUCCCCCUUUUUUCCCCUCUUUUUAAAAAUCUUUAUUUAUAAUUUAUUUUAUUUCUUUUUUAAUUCCCUUCCAUGUUUUUCUCCCAUUCAUUCUCUGCUCUCCCCUUCCUGCGGACGUUUAUUUCCUUGCUGCUUUCUUUUCUUUCUUUCUUUCUUUUUCCUCUUUUUCCCCCCCCGUGUCUCCCUGGAAGUAAAACGCAUUUUAGGCCUCAGCCUUACGGAAAGCCGACCCGUAGCAGUUCAGGUGCAUUGGCAGCGCGCACCGCCCGGACCUCCCCCGCAGCCCCUCGACGUGCGCCCGCCCCACAGAACGAGGAGGGUCCGGGGCCGUCCCGCCCUCAGUCCCGGCCCCCGACGGCCGCAGGAAGGAGCGGCCGGGCUGUGGGACCCUUCGGCCGAGCCUUUCCGGCGCCGUGGCACGCUUAGACGCGGCUUUUAAUUGCAAAACAAAGCAACGCGUUUCCCGAACGCCCGUCGGGAGCCGCCGCUCCCGUGAGUUGGCGAAGCCCCGAUUGUUGGAGGAAAAGCGACAAACAAUUAAGACACGAUGCAGCUCGGGGCGGCGAGGCGCGGGGGUUACUCUAGGUUGGCUAAAAAUAACUUCUCCUAAUUAAAGAAAAGUGACGUCAGACGUGCAGGACGUAGAAGAGGGGAAGGCAGCGGACUCGGCGCGGGGCGAUCACGUUCGAUAAUUCAGGGGAACGGGCACCGGGGCCGCUCCGAGGCGCGGGCGGAGAGCGGCUCCCCGUGCCCGGCUCCGGCUGCGGGACGGCUGAGGCGGGCGGCGUCGCUCCCCCGGGGAAGGGAGCGGAGCGAAGCCGAGCCGCGGUGCGGAG
Molecule: long non-coding RNA, 3195 nt
Filed under: Gallus gallus (chicken)
Lineage: Eukaryota; Metazoa; Chordata; Aves; Galliformes; Phasianidae
Description: lncRNA (ENSGALG00010020663.1)
Source: RNAcentral